CGUGUGCACGCUCUGCACUUGUCAGUCAGUCGCAGCUCUCGCGUGUGAGGGAGAGGACACAUCUUAAGGAAGCUCCUACGACAAUUCAAACCUUCAUACUUCUCCUCUUUGCGCAGUUUUCUCUCAUUGGAUGCUUUCUGACCAGGGAUUGAAAUAGUUGGAGGAUAUUGACUGAAGUGGAGUGAAGUUAUAGCUUAAUAUACAAAAGGAAAAUGGCAACAUCACCAGCUGUUCAGUUGGCAUCAACUCACAUUGAAGACAAACUGCCACCGGACAGGAUGAGCCUCGACAGAGAUCCUACAGAUGGAAACAAGGGUGGGUGGUUGGAAGGCUGCAUAAAGGCUGCUGGAUGACUGAACUCAGAGACCCGGCACAGCUCAUCAUCAUUGCCACGGGCUCUCGUCUUCCUCGUCUUCCUCCCAUGGCCCCGUACCUUUCCAUCCAGGGGUCCAGCGGAGCCAGCGAAGCCCGGGCGGGGAGCUUGUGAGUGGGCCGGGAAACAUGGAGAAGCUCCCUGAAGGCCCGGAGCACCUCUGGAGCUAGCGGCGUGCAGGAGAAAUCAAUAUAAAACACAGAGCGCUGCACAGCUCUGAGUGGGGUUUCCUGUGUUAGUCUGUGGCCUCGGGCCCGCAGACCUCCAAAGGACAGGCCCUGCGUGGCCCCUCUCAGCUGCAGAACUGGACCUCAGUCCCGAUCUCCGCUGGCUGUGUGUGGUUCUGCUGAAGGGGAUCGCUCCCCAAAUAAUACCCAGAAUGUGGAGAGACCGCCAGGAGGGCUAUUUCCUUUUCUCUUGAUUUUCAUUCCUUCAUAAGAUUGACAUAUCCCCCACCUCCUGCCUCCGGCUGCUCCAAAACCAGUUUGGGAGUUCUGCUUUGGACUCGCUCUCCAUUCUCGACUCACCCGCUGUUUAUUCCCCAACCAGUUUUUAAAUUUGACAAAGAGACAGUACGAUCUUUAUUUUCUCCUCCACUUUCUCCUGACUUGCUGUUACCAUGGUGAGCCGUAGACAUGUGUCUGUUAAAACCAGAAACACUGGCACAUGAA
This is a long non-coding RNA of Notolabrus celidotus (New Zealand spotty), 1044 nucleotides long. RefSeq lists it as uncharacterized. The record is from RefSeq and is a predicted model, not a curated record. The transcript is spliced from 3 exons. NCBI's taxonomy places the organism in Eukaryota, Metazoa, Chordata, Actinopteri, Labriformes, Labridae.